UGCCCACUGAUUUAUUAAAGGGCUGCAGUAAUUUGACUGUACAAAGGUAGCAUAAUCAUUAGUCAUUUAAUUGAUGACUUGAAUGAAGGAUUGAAUGAAAUAUAAACUGUCUCUAUGUUAAUUUAUAUAAUUUAAUUUUUUAAUUAAAAAGUUAAAAUAAUUUAAAAAGACGAGAAGACCCUAUAGAGUUUUAUUUAUUGGUUAAUUAUUAUUGUUUUUAAGAUUAAAAUUUAAAUUAAUUAAUAAAUUUAGUUGGGGUGAUAGAAAAAUUAAAUUAACUUUUUUUUAAUUAAUAACAUAAAUAAAUGAUUAUUUGAUCCAUUAAUAAUGAUUAUAAGAAAAAAUUACCUUAGGGAUAACAGCGUAAUUUUUUUUUUUAGUUCAAAUAAGAAAAAGAGUUUGCGACCUCGAUGUUGGAUUAAGAUAAAAUUUAAAUGUAGAAGUUUAAAAUUUUUGA
RNAcentral lists this ribosomal RNA (457 nucleotides) under Dasychira tristis. RNAcentral describes it as "partial large subunit ribosomal RNA". Lineage: Eukaryota; Metazoa; Arthropoda; Insecta; Lepidoptera; Erebidae. The record is from RNAcentral.